This 256-nucleotide ribosomal RNA is filed under the name uncultured bacterium. RNAcentral describes it as "partial 16S ribosomal RNA". It matches the Rfam family "Bacterial small subunit ribosomal RNA", at positions 28 to 266 of the family's 1533-position model. The record is from RNAcentral.
GAUGAACGCUACCUACAGGCUUAACACAUGCAAGUCGAGGGGCAUCAGGAAGAAAGCUUGCUUUUCUUUGCUGGCGACCGGCGCACGGGUGAGUAACACGUAUCCAACCUGCCCUUUAACUCGGGGGAUAGCCUUUUCGAAAAGAAAGAUUAAAUACCCCGAUAGCAUAAUGAUUCCGCAUGGUUUACAUUAUUAAAAGGACUUCCGGUAAAGGAUGGGGAUGCGUUCCAUUAGGUUGUUGGUGAGGUAACGGCUC